AGUGAACACUGGCGGUAGGCCUAACACAUGCAAGUCGAACGGCAGCACAGGAGAGCUUGCUCUCUGGGUGGCGAGUGGCGGACGGGUGAGGAAUACAUCGGAAUCUACUCUGUCGUGGGGGAUAACGUAGGGAAACUUACGCUAAUACCGCAUACGACCUACGGGUGAAAGCAGGGGACCUUCGGGCCUUGCGCGAUUGAAUGAGCCGAUGACGGAUUAGCUAGUUGGCGGGGUAAAGGCCCACCAAGGCGACGAUCCGUAGCUGGUCUGAGGGGAUGGUAAGCCACACUGGAACUGGGACACGGUCCAGACUCCGACGGGAGGCAGCAGUGGGGAAUAUUGGACAAGGGGCGCAAGCGUGAUCCAGCCAUACCGCGUGGGUGAAGAAGGCCUUCGGGUUGUAAAGCCCUUUUGUUGGGAAAGAAAUCCAGCUGGCUAAUACCCGGUUGGGAUGACGGUACCCAGAGAAUAAGCACCGGCUAACUUCGUGCCAGCAGCCGCCGUAA
Molecule: ribosomal RNA, 506 nt
Filed under: uncultured bacterium
Lineage: Bacteria
Description: partial 16S ribosomal RNA
Rfam family: Bacterial small subunit ribosomal RNA
Source: RNAcentral